CCUGGCGGCCGUAGCGCGGUGGUCCCACCUGACCCCAUGCCGCACUCAGAAGUGAAACGCCGUAGCGCCGAUGGUAGUGUGGGGUCUCCCCAUGCGAGAGUAGGGAACUGCCAGGC
This 116-nucleotide ribosomal RNA is filed under the name Escherichia coli. Lineage: Bacteria; Pseudomonadati; Pseudomonadota; Gammaproteobacteria; Enterobacterales; Enterobacteriaceae. The record is from RNAcentral.